CAGGGGGUAUUUUAUUUAAAAUAUUAAUUUUGGGGAUUAAUGAAAUGGCUUCAAUGUCUUUCCUCUGA
RNAcentral lists this transfer RNA (68 nucleotides) under Cahuallitermes intermedius. Its description in RNAcentral is "tRNA-Pro". Lineage: Eukaryota; Metazoa; Arthropoda; Insecta; Blattodea; Termitidae. The record is from RNAcentral.